CCUAAUCUGGUUGGAAAGACAGAUAAACAGUUGUUUACUGAACAUAAUAUGAAAAAAUCUCUUUGUAAAGCAACAUGAACACACAAAUAUAUGUGUACUUGAGGAAUAAACUCAACUACUGAGUUUAUUCCUCAAACUACUGAGGAGAGGAAAGAUGUCUGGAGUGCUAUGAAUUAAAUCUACUUAGUUUUCCUUUUGGUUCCAUUCAUUUCUCUCUCCAGCUGCUGCUUUCUGAUAAUCUGCCCAUUUGCCUUGUGAUAAACACAUCUGUCACUUCCUUGGAUGCCUUAUGUAAUAUCUACUAUGGAUUCACUAGCGUUGACCAGCACAGUAGCGGCACUGUAACUCGGGCCUGAAGGAAGCUCACCUAACACAGAGAUUUUCUCCGUAAAAUCAUCACAGCCUUCCUGCACUUACACACUCUAGACAGAACUUCAGCACUACACUUGGGGGCCAUUCUAAAGAGCAAAAUCACCAAAAAGUCCUCUCCUUGGGGCAUGGCCACUCUCCAGCAGAUCAAGGUGUCUGGUUUGACCCAAACCUCCACUCUUAUUUUCUGCUUAAACUCAGAGUACCUGAGCAUCAUGGAAAUGGAAUAUUCUAGAGAGAAGAGUUCUCCGUGGUCUUUUGUGCUAAAGGGGACCCCCUCUCCACUCUACCCCAUUUCUAUAGCUCCAUUUGAGAUUGUGUCACAUCCAGAGAAAAGCAUUUAACUGGAACGCAGCGUAAUGCAUUGGAUUGCUGGCCUUGAACAUUCAGGGUCUCAUGAACUCAUUGUCUCAGGCACCAGAAAGGAAAACUUCAGAGAUGAUUGGACAAGGGACAUUGGGUUCCUGAUACCCAACUUGGGAAUCAUUCUCUAAAUAUGACAUUUUGUUUUUACUUCUAGUAGAAAAUAUCAUAUAUGCUGAUGAAGAAUGAUCUUAAUUUUUGGAGGGGAAAACAGCUAUCAUACACUCUCACAUCUGCCCGCCAGCCUCUGGGCCUCUGGCUGACGCUAGUGCAGUUGUCCUCCAGGACAGCAGCGAACGUUUGACCAAUUUAUCCCCCGGAGAUGGUUUUGUGACUCUGGCUUUGAAAUGGAGUAAACACCUUCUCCCAUGAGACAUGGAGCCAGCCAGCCAAGGCUCAGGCCUCGCCUGUUCUGAGGAAUUAAAGAAGAUUGAGAAAUGUAGCUCUGCUUCUUGCCGAGAGAGCCCCGUCAAGAAACUGCUUUGAAGCCUUCUGCUCUAUCAGCGCUGGGAGACUUUGGCACGUGAGGUUAUCUUCACAAUGGCGGCCAGGCAGCCCCCCCUCACCCCUACCCCUCGUGUCCACACAGCAAAGAACACUUUGAACUGUGUUGGUUGCACGUCUGCUUCUAUGCAGGUCCUUGGAUCUCUGAUUUUUGGACCCAGGCCAUCCUCUGAUAAGGGCGCGGGACUUGCCUCCCUGCUCCCCACACCAGAGGCUGCUCCCACCAAAUACAGUUUUCUGUUGCUGAGUCAGAGUAAACACAAGGCGGUUAGCAUUGCAGCUUGAUGUCUGCUGCAUAGGGAAGAAUGAAGGAGACGAAGUGGCCGCUUUCUGGAGAUGAGGAAUGAUUGGUAGUUUUACUCUGCAGUUCCUCCACCCUCCAGUUUGCUUUCCUGUUUUCCACAAAUCUGUCAGUGCCUCAGUAUCACCCAGCACUACACUGGGAGUGAAGAGAUGUGUACCCGGCCAUGUGGCACUGGCGGGGCGGGGCUGACUCCCUGACAGUGAGUGGCCCUCCCUCCUUUGGUUUGAUUGAAGCUGCUGGAGCUGGCGUCUGGAGAUGAUGAUUGAACACACUGCAUCUUUCACAAGCUGUCCUCAGAGACAGACAUCUUCAGAACUUGGGUUCUUUCCAAAAGCCGAACAGUGUGUUUUGACACAGGAAAAUGGAAAAGUCCUUUAUAACCAGGAAGCAGGUGGCUUUAUCCUGGCUCCUCCUCAUCCAGCUCUCAGAGGCUACCCCUGCGAAGCC
Molecule: long non-coding RNA, 1987 nt
Filed under: Equus caballus (horse)
Lineage: Eukaryota; Metazoa; Chordata; Mammalia; Perissodactyla; Equidae
Description: lncRNA (ENSECAG00000048561.1)
Source: RNAcentral